UUUUAGCCAAAAAAUAAAUAAAAGUGACUGAUGAGUCUUCAAGUUCGUUGACAUGCAACCUGAUUGCUUUACCUGACACAUACGUGAUUAAGAUUAAGAUAAAUGGCAAUGGAGGAUUUCCGUGUGCAACAAUCCGAAGUUUACUUUGAACCUUUUUCUCACGCGAUGGUAACCAUUCAGUCAACCAGAUCUUGCUGUAACACAUGGAAAAAGAAAGGACGAUCGACAAAAGAACACUGAUCCAUCCAAAGCCGCACGAUCUGGCUUUGCAUGACAUGUUAAUGGUGAAGGUGGGGUCUUUAACUAUUCACGCAAGUCUAGCUCAAAUUAAUGUGCGGCCGAUUUCACAUUCCAUCUCAACACCAACAACCAAAUAUGGGAAAAAGAAAAAAGGCAUCUAGCUAGGUACUUUGGUUUAGCUUGUUAGGAAGGAUGGAAAUUUUAGGUGGACC
This 452-nucleotide long non-coding RNA is filed under the name Glycine max (soybean). RNAcentral's name for it is "long non-coding RNA (GMAX_LNC002362)". The record is from RNAcentral. Lineage: Eukaryota; Viridiplantae; Streptophyta; Magnoliopsida; Fabales; Fabaceae.